UGGGGAAUAUUGCACAAUGGGCGCAAGCCUGAUGCAGCCAUGCCGCGUGUAUGAAGAAGGCCUUCGGGUUGUAAAGUACUUUCAGCGGGGAGGAAGGGAGUAAAGUUAAUACCUUUGCUCAUUGACGUUACCCGCAGAAGAAGCACCGGCUAACUCCGUGCCAGCAGCCGCGGUAAUACGGAGGGUGCAAGCGUUAAUCGGAAUUACUGGGCGUAAAGCGCACGCAGGCGGUUUGUUAAGUCAGAUGUGAAAUCCCCGGGCUCAACCUGGGAACUGCAUCUGAUACUGGCAAGCUUAAGUCUCGUAGAGGGGGGUAGAAUUCCAGGUGUAGCGGUGAAAUGCGUAGAGAUCUGGAGGAAUACCGGUGGCGAAGGCGGCCCCCUGGACAAAGACUGACGCUCAGGUGCGAAAGCGUGGGGAGCAAACA
Molecule: ribosomal RNA, 427 nt
Filed under: uncultured bacterium
Lineage: Bacteria
Description: partial 16S ribosomal RNA
Rfam family: Bacterial small subunit ribosomal RNA
Source: RNAcentral